Molecule: ribosomal RNA, 405 nt
Filed under: uncultured bacterium
Lineage: Bacteria
Description: bacterial SSU rRNA
Rfam family: Bacterial small subunit ribosomal RNA
Source: RNAcentral
UGGGGAAUAUUGCACAAUGGGGGAAACCCUGAUGCAGCGACGCCGCGUGGAGGAAGAAGGUCUUCGGAUUGUAAACUCCUGUUGUUGGGGAAGAUAAUGACGGUACCCAACAAGGAAGUGACGGCUAACUACGUGCCAGCAGCCGCGGUAAAACGUAGGUCACAAGCGUUGUCCGGAAUUACUGGGUGUAAAGGGAGCGCAGGCGGGAAGACAAGUUGGAAGUGAAAUCUAUGGGCUCAACCCAUAAACUGCUUUCAAAACUGUUUUUCUUGAGUAGUGCAGAGGUAGGCGGAAUUCCCGGUGUAGCGGUGGAAUGCGUAGAUAUCGGGAGGAACACCAGUGGCGAAGGCGGCCUACUGGGCACCAACUGACGCUGAGGCUCGAAAGUGUGGGUAGCAAACAGGA